CCUGCCUCCAGGGCCUCACAAUCUAGCUUCAAGACUGUGUCCUCUAUGUGCAAAUCACCCACCAGGACAGGUGCUCUUUCUUGUCAAGAGAAGGGAAUGUAGACAAGAUUCCCAAUCCCAGGAGCCAUGGACUAGGUGUCUCUUUGAUGUAAUUGACCACAAAGAGGACCAGACAUGUCCCAGGCAGGACAUAUUUUCCUGACAGAGAAGAGACCUGUCCAAGCCUACAGGGCCAAUACCCAUGAAAGCUUCUCCUCCCCACUUGCAGAAAAGAUGUUUGAGGGCAGGAUAGAAAACUUCAUGAUGUCAAUUUUGACCUCCAAAAGCAAAAUCCAGAACUCCCUGCAAAAUGUCAAGGCCUCCUCAACCCCUACUCAGAGGCUCAGUCAUGCUCAGUGUGCAUGCCCAACUGGGAAAGCACAAGGGGAAACUGAGGGUUGGCCAGGCCAGUAAUACCUACCUCAAAGAAGUCACCCCAGGCUCAGGUGUGCAGGUAUGCCUGCCAUUACGGGAGUCUUACUGCAGAAAGAAAGCUCAAAGAAUAUUAUCUGUGUCUAGCAACCCAAUCCCAAGGCACACAGAUAAUCUUCCACAGAAGUAUAAAUGCACAAUCAAGCAGGCCAGUCUAUCUAGAGAGGCUGUCUCCUGAGCGAAUCCCUAUCAGCCCAGACUAGUCACCACAUGUCCCAGGGACCCCUGUCCACUGUCCCAGGCACUGUCUCUGCACAGGUGCGCUACUUGGAAAAGCAAACACUUUCCCACACCUACCCUGAUAGGAAAUU
RNAcentral lists this long non-coding RNA (782 nucleotides) under Rattus norvegicus (Norway rat). RNAcentral's name for it is "long non-coding RNA NONRATT029773". The record is from RNAcentral. Lineage: Eukaryota; Metazoa; Chordata; Mammalia; Rodentia; Muridae.